RNAcentral lists this unclassified non-coding RNA (384 nucleotides) under uncultured Gammaproteobacteria bacterium. RNAcentral's name for it is "contains 16S-23S intergenic spacer region". Lineage: Bacteria; Pseudomonadati; Pseudomonadota; Gammaproteobacteria. The record is from RNAcentral.
UCCUCGUUUAAGCGAGGCAGUCUGUCCAGAGUGCUCCGAACUCUCGUUCGGGUGGCAACAGGACACAGGGGUUGCGCUCGUUGCGGGACUUGACCAAACAUCUCACGACACGAGCUGACGACAGCCAUGCAGCACCUGUGUCCAGGCUCCCUUUCGGGCACUCCCACAUCUCUGCAGGAUUCCUGGCAUGUCAAGGGUAGGUAAGGUUUUUCGCGUUGCAUCGAAUUAAACCACAUCAUCCACCGCUUGUGCGGGUCCCCGUCAAUUCCUUUGAGUUUUAAUCUUGCGACCGUACUCCCCAGGCGGUCUACUUCACGCGUUAGCUGCGUUACCAAGUUAAUUAAAACCCGACAACUAGUAGACAUCGUUUAGGGCGUGGACUAC